This 468-nucleotide ribosomal RNA is filed under the name uncultured bacterium. RNAcentral's name for it is "partial 16S ribosomal RNA". It matches the Rfam family "Bacterial small subunit ribosomal RNA", at positions 28 to 507 of the family's 1533-position model. The record is from RNAcentral.
GACGAACGCUGGCGGCGUGCUUAACACAUGCAAGUCGAACGGAAAGGCCCUGCUUUUGUGGGGUGCUCGAGUGGCGAACGGGUGAGUAACACGUGAGUAACCUGCCCUUGACUUUGGGAUAACUUCAGGAAACUGGGGCUAAUACCGGAUAGGAGCUCCUGCUGCAUGGUGGGGGUUGGAAAGUUUCGGCGGUUGGGGAUGGACUCGCGGCUUAUCAGCUUGUUGGUGGGGUAGUGGCUUACCAAGGCUUUGACGGGUAGCCGGCCUGGGAGGGUGACCGGCCACAAUGGGACUGAGAUACGGACCAGAAUCCUACGGGAGGCAGCAGGGGGGAAUAUUGCACAAUGGGCGGAAGCCUGAUGCAGCAACGCCGCGUGCGGGAAGACGGCCUUCGGGUUGUAAACCGCUUUCGCCUGUGACGAAGCGUGAGUGACGGUAAUGGGUAAAGAAGCACCGGCUAACUACGUG